This 318-nucleotide ribosomal RNA is filed under the name uncultured Cercozoa. Its description in RNAcentral is "bacterial SSU rRNA". The stretch from base 112 to 318 matches the Rfam family "Eukaryotic small subunit ribosomal RNA", at positions 747 to 955 of the family's 1831-position model. The record is from RNAcentral. Lineage: Eukaryota; Cercozoa.
GAUUUGUGAUGUGUGCUAUAGCGUCUACAAUAUUUUGUUGUAGUACUGCCGUGGCCAUGUCAUCCUUGGGCGGAUCCUGUGUGGCAUUAGGUUGUCGUGCAGGAGAGGCCCAUCGUUUACUGUGAAAAAAUUAGAGUGUUCAAAGCAGGCUUAUGCCGUUGAAUAUAUUAGCAUGGAAUAAUAAGAUAGGUCUUGGGUCCUAUUUUGUUGGUUUGCGGACCGGAGAAAUGAUUAACAGGGACAGUUGGGGGUAUUCGUAUUUCAUUGUCAGAGGUGAAAUUCUUGGAUUUCUGGAAGACGAACUACUGCGAAAGCAUU